This 21-nucleotide non-coding RNA is filed under the name Caenorhabditis elegans. Lineage: Eukaryota; Metazoa; Nematoda; Chromadorea; Rhabditida; Rhabditidae. The record is from RNAcentral.
UUCGCGAACUGGUUCCAGUCA